Molecule: ribosomal RNA, 614 nt
Filed under: uncultured bacterium
Lineage: Bacteria
Description: bacterial SSU rRNA
Rfam family: Bacterial small subunit ribosomal RNA
Source: RNAcentral
CUAGCCCUAAACGAUCAGGACUUGGGGUGCCACCCGUUCGGGUGUCGUCCCGGAGCUAACGCGUUAAGUCCUGCACCUGGGGAGUACGGUCGCAAGACUGAAACUCAAAGGAAUUGACGGGGGCCCGCACAAGCGGUGGAACAUGUGGUUCAAUUCGACGCUACGCGAGGAACCUUACCUGGGCUCGACAACGGUGGACCAUCCUAGAAAUAGGAUUUUCCCUUCGGGGACUGCCGGUUCAGGUGCUGCAUGGCUGUCGUCAGCUCGUGCCGUGAGGUGUUGGGUUAAGUCCCGCAACGAGCGCAACCCUCGUCCUUAGUUGCCACCAUUCAGUUGGGCACUCUAGGGAGACUGCCGGCGUUAAGCCGGAGGAAGGUGGGGACGACGUCAAGUCAUCAUGGCCCUUAUGUCCAGGGCCACACACGUGCUACAAUGGGCGGUACAAAGGGUCGCGAACCCGCGAGGGGGAGCCAAUCCCAAAAAGCCGCUCUCAGUUCGGAUUGGAGUCUGCAACUCGACUCCAUGAAGUUGGAAUCGCUAGUAAUCGCGGAUCAGAACGCCGCGGUGAAUACGUUCCCGGGCCUUGCACACACCGCCAGUCGGACCAGGUCGAU